AUGAUUGAGCAUAGAACACGUGGAGAGGACGAUCUGCACCUAGGAACGAGUGAGCAUCAACUGCAAGGGACAUGUAUGCAGCCUGAGGUGGGUCCAGGGGAUAAUGCAACAGUUGUGGACAAAGGCGACAAACACAUCGGGAUGACUUCCCAGGUGGAUCUGGAACUGAAUGCGAGUGUACCUGCCAAGCAUCUCUGCGACCAAGAGGGUGGCGCUGCUUCCGAGGCCGCUGGUGGGCUCAGCACGGAAAUCCUUGGCGAGACAAGGCGCAAUGUGCUGGCCUCUGCCGAGGAAUCUCAGCAGCUACCAAUUGAGGGCGAGCGCGUGUUGGCUUGCGAUUCGCUGCAUGGCGCACUGCAUGGCGCUCUGGAUGUGACUACGUCCCGAGCGGCUACAAGCGAUUUGCACAGGGGAGUGGACGUUCUGGAGAGCAGACCAUGCACAGAAAUGGCCUUGUAUGAGAGGGAGAUACUCUCAGAAGUGCAUGACUCAGUCCAACAAGGAAUGACAACAUCAGAGGCGAUUGCUUUCGCUAAGCUGAAGGCCUUCUGCUCAUGUAUUGUCAAGAAGCUGGCUCCCCCACUACUGAAGGAAAUUCAGGCCUCAACCCUACACCCGGCUUUUGAGCCAUGCACGCCUAGGCGCACCACUCGAGCCACGAAGCGCAUCGCGGGGAUAGGAGUUUCCAACGCAUCGCCUGCUGAAAAUGUUCUUCUUCGGACGCUAGGAAUUGCGGCAGAGGAUCUCACGGUUGACGAUCGAGCAGUGGAAGAGCUCAAGGGGCUGUUUGACUCGCCUUUACGCGAGCAACACAUCCGAGUGAUUGCAGCUCUGUUUGGCAAGACCCUGCCUCUCGGAGGGGCCCUUGCCCCGCAAGACUCGGUGGCUGUGAGCGCACAGUAG
This 903-nucleotide ribosomal RNA is filed under the name Triticum aestivum (bread wheat). Its description in RNAcentral is "partial small subunit ribosomal RNA". Lineage: Eukaryota; Viridiplantae; Streptophyta; Magnoliopsida; Poales; Poaceae. The record is from RNAcentral.